This 497-nucleotide ribosomal RNA is filed under the name uncultured bacterium. RNAcentral's name for it is "partial 16S ribosomal RNA". It matches the Rfam family "Bacterial small subunit ribosomal RNA", at positions 28 to 507 of the family's 1533-position model. The record is from RNAcentral.
GAUGAACGCUGGCGGCGUGCCUAAUACAUGCAAGUCGAGCGAACAGACGAGGAGCUUGCUCCUCUGACGUUAGCGGCGGACGGGUGAGUAACACGUGGAUAACCUACCUAUAAGACUGGGAUAACUUCGGGAAACCGGAGCUAGUACCGGAUAAUAUAUUGAACCGCAUGGUUCAAUAGUGAAAGACGGUUUUGCUGUCACUUAUAGAUGGAUCCGCGCCGCAUUAGCUAGUUGGUAAGGUAACGGCUUACCAAGGCGACGAUGCGUAGCCGACGUGAGAGGGUGAGCGGCCACACUGGAACUGAGACACGGUCCAGACUCCGACGGGAGGCAGCAGUAGGGAAUCUUCCGCAAGGGGCGAAAGCCUGACGGAGCAACGCCGCGUGAGUGAUGAAGGUCUUCGGAUCGUAAAACUCUGUUAUUAGGGAAGAACAAAUGUGUAAGUAACUAUGCACGUCUUGACGGUACCUAAUCAGAAAGCCACGGCUAACUACGUG